Molecule: ribosomal RNA, 245 nt
Filed under: uncultured bacterium
Lineage: Bacteria
Description: partial 16S ribosomal RNA
Rfam family: Bacterial small subunit ribosomal RNA
Source: RNAcentral
UACGGAGGGUGCGAGCGUUAAUCGGAAUUACUGGGCGUAAAGCGCGCGUAGGCGGUCCGCUAAGUCAGCCGUGAAAGCCCUGGGCUUAACCUGGGAACUGCGGUUGAUACUGGCGGGCUAGAGUGUGGCAGAGGGUGGCGGAAUUUCCGGUGUAGCAGUGAAAUGCGUAGAGAUCGGAAGGAACACCAGUGGCGAAGGCGGCCAUCUGGGCUAACACUGACGCUGAGGUGCGAAAGCGUGGGGAG